Molecule: ribosomal RNA, 253 nt
Filed under: uncultured bacterium
Lineage: Bacteria
Description: partial 16S ribosomal RNA
Rfam family: Bacterial small subunit ribosomal RNA
Source: RNAcentral
UACAGAGGGGGCAAGCGUUGUUCGGAAUUACUGGGCGUAAAGGGCGCGUAGGCGGCCUGUUAAGUCGAACGUGAAAUCCCCGGGCUCAACCCGGGAACUGCGUCCGAUACUGGCAGGCUUGAAUUCGGGAGAGGGAUGUGGAAUUCCAGGUGUAGCGGUGAAAUGCGUAGAUAUCGGAAGGAACAUCAGUGGCGAAAGCGACUUCCUGGACCAAUACUGACGCUCAUGUGCGAAAGCGUGGGGAGCAAACAGG